UAAUUCAUUUACUUCUCCAUCACUGUAGCUGCCUUCCAUCCCUGUCAUUUGCUUUGGCUGUGGGAUUGCAGAAGCACCAGAAAACUGCAGAGGAAAGAGAAGGAAUGACAUUCAAAUCGACAUAACUACAUCUAUUGGUUAAGGUAAUUCACUGCAGCAUACUCUAAUACUGAGAGGAAGACAAACACAAAACUGACCCAGAGGUAAAUGUCCACAGCUUUGAUGUAGGAAACUCGAGGCAUGGAGGCAUUGACACCAGUGAUGAUGGUAGACAUGGCACAGCACGGCGGUCUAUCCAGAAAGAAACCCAAGACAACAUGACCAUCAGAGUGGCAGGGAAAUAGGUCUGAAGCAAGAAGAAGAAGAUAUGUCGUCUUAAUGUGAAGUUGAUGAAGAGACGGUUGUACCAACCUGCAAGAGGAAGAGGGAGAACCAGAUCACAAUGAAGACAACCAAUGAUAGUAACUACAUAAACAACAUGGAACUCUUACAGUAUUUAUUUUUCAUAAUACUGUGCUUUAGAAUUAGCACCAAAAAGGGGCACUUUUCACUUUAAUAAUGCAAACAUGCAAAUAAUAUUUAGAAUUCCUGUGGAUUCAGUUUAGAUAUUUUUUUAAAAAUUGAGCAAAACAGACAGGUUUACCCAAGUUUAAUGAAAUCAAAUAGUCUGCUGUAAAUAGAUCUGGGUUUUUUCUUUCCGAAUUUCUCCCAUCAUGAUGAAAGAGACACAAAAAGUCUCCACAUUCUCUAUUUCUGUGAAGCAAAUGUUGCGAUUGGUUUGACACUUCCUGCUGUCAAAAUACCCUCACUCACACUGGAACAGGUGGAAGGUGACAUUUUGACAAAUAGAAAUGCCCUACUCCUACUAAGUUCCAUUAACAGUUCUAUUUGUACAAGAAUGACUUCUGUUCCUUCUUCUCUCUAGCCUUUCUUUGUGAACAUUUUUAGAAUUCAUAAGACUGAAACAUUUCUUCAGACAACAGCAAUAGCACCCAGAAUUAUAUACCGCUUCACAGUGCUUUACAGCGCACUCUAAGUGGUUUACAGAGUCAGCAUAUUGCCCCCAAAAAUCUGGGUUGUCAUUUUACCAAGUUAUUAUAUCUUUCAGCACACCACUUUUACGAACUGAUGAACAAUUAUAAAGCGAUUCUUGAAUGCAACAUUAAUCUUGCCAAGGAAAUCUUUUAUUUGUGAAUAUUUAAGUCACAUAAUCUUCUUAGAUUAUAUACCUCAAAUAUUCUUUCUUAGUAAAACCUGUAAAAUAAUGUUACAAAAGUCCUUUUUUGGCCUGAUGGGCAAUUUGGCAAAAACAGAUUCUUGAAAGUAAAAGAAUGGAAAUUCUAGAUAAUACCUUUUUUUUUCCAGAAAAGCCUAGAACUUUCUCAAGAAUUGAAAUCAUAUGAGUUUCAAAAAAUUGGCUAAUUAGAUAGUUAUGGUAGAUAUUUUUCCUAGAAGUUUUUCUGAUCAUAAUCCAGUAAUCUUAACAUUCAAGAGAAAAAUUUACAAAUUUUAGAUGGAGAUUAAAUGAAGUACUAUUACAAAAAAAAAGAAUUGUGAAAACUGUAAAAAGAAGUUAAAUUAUUUUUUAAAUUAUAAUUUGGAUUUAAUGACUGUCUUGAAUGCCAGUGAAGCUGUAAUGAGAAAUUAUUUCAUUCAAUAUAGUCAUAAACUAAACAAAGAAAUCCCUAGAAACAAAAGAAAUUUUUAAAAAACAGGAGGAUUUACAGAAAGUAUAAAUAGACUCUGUUAUUUUAUAUCAAAUUAAAUUCUUACUUCCACAAUUAUCUGUAAUAAUUAUAAGAGAAAUAGAGUCCUAACUAAACUAUAUGAAAUAGAAGAACUUUGAAUUUGCAGAUAAACCAGGGAAAUGGUUGGCAUAUGAAUUGAGAAAGGAGAGAGAAAAGAAAACAAUAUUAAAGAUCCAGAAAGGCAAGAUUGUACUAAAACAGUGAUGGCUAAAAUU
Molecule: non-coding RNA, 1963 nt
Organism: Thamnophis sirtalis
Lineage: Eukaryota; Metazoa; Chordata; Lepidosauria; Squamata; Natricidae
Source: RefSeq, a predicted model, not a curated record